Molecule: long non-coding RNA, 1681 nt
Filed under: Homo sapiens (human)
Lineage: Eukaryota; Metazoa; Chordata; Mammalia; Primates; Hominidae
Description: HSALNT0168609
Source: RNAcentral
GAAGCCACACAACGCGGCUCCUCCUAGCCCCGGCGCGGCAGCCUGGAGGGGAUGUCUUUUUUGCAAAGCGAGUUCUCCAACUUUCCCGGGCCUUGGCGGAGCUCCGGGACCGCGCAGGGUGAGCAGCAUGUUGUCCAGCAGCAGCGCCAGGAACACGAUGAACAGGAUGAGCUUCCGCGAGCGGCGGCUCUCCUGCAGCCAGCGGACCAGCGCCAGCUCGCUCAGGGCCAUGGCUCCGGGGCUCCGCUGCGGGCGCGGUGCGCGGUCCCUUUUAUAAGCAAAGGAGAAACAAACAGAUGCCCUCUGACAUCGCUGGAGCUCUGCAGGCCCUCCGAGGGGACCGUGGGAGCAAGAGCUGUUUUCUUGAAAAGCUACCUAGAAUAAAUGUUACCCUGUCACAGUCUCUUAGCAGAAGAGUGGGCUUGUUUUAUUAAUGUUAGCUUGUUGACAGCAGGAGGCCACUGAGAACAGCAGUGUGAUGUGUGGCUGCCCCCGCUCUCUCCACCUCCCUACUCCCUUGCAGAGACCCCCUGUGCUUCUCAUUGCUACCCCAUGUGUGAGAAGAGAUGGUUGAAUAGGUAAGUAGGUCAGGAACAUGGGUCUCCAGGAUGUCACAGGAUGUGCACAACUUAAACAUUAAACAGGGAGGACAGAAGGAAAACCACUUAGGAGGAGGAAGCAGAUGGCAGAGAGCCGUUUAAGAUGGCAGGAGGGUAUCACUCAGGGAGUGCCCCAGAGUGCUUGCUCUGGAGUUUCAGAACCCAAGGAUGCAGACUCUACCCCAGGGACCACAUGGGGACAGAGAGGCAUUAUGGUAAAGGGUGCCUGCCAGGAUGCCCAGGUCCCAGUCUGCUACUUCCUUGACUGGUGGCCUUGGGCUGGUUAUGUAUCCUCUUUGUGGCUUAGUUUCGCCAUCUCUGGAAUGGGGAUACUCACUGGACCUACUGCAGCGUGGUUGUGAGAAUUCCAGGGGAAUGCAUAGGCAGCUCUUAGCACAGUGCCUGGCACAAAGUGAGAGCUCCGUAAGUGCCGGCCCCUCAUUCAUGCGCUGAAUAUGUGUUGAGCUCUUACUACGUGCCAGGCACUAUGGUUAAUGCUGGGGAGACAGUAAAGCCUAGACAAAUCCCUGCUGACAUUCUGACCUGAUAGCAGCAUCAUAGCAGUGAACACUGGAAGCCACACCAAACUCCAGCCCAGCCAGCUGGAUGUAGAUGGCUCCAGGGACAAUGCCAGCCCGGCGUUCCCGCCUCCGGAUCACUGUCACCACCCCUAGAGCACUAUGGCCUAUAACAGACUUUUUGUUGAAACCCCCUAAAAAAUGUUUAACAAUAUGUUUGCCUUACACAUUUUCAAGUUGGCAUCUAAAAUGAGUUUUUUAAUCAUAUAUUUAAAUAGGGUAUAUUGUAUUUAUUGACCUUUAUGUAUAAAAUUAUUAUCUCUCUCUUUUAAAUAUACCCAAAGGAAUUUGUAUAAGAAUACAAAACUGCCAUGUUAUACUUAAGAAUAUAAACAAGUAUCCCUUUAACAGUCAAAAUAUUUACAUUGUGUUCUUUACCCCUUUUAAGUAUGUUUCCAUUCCGUUUUCCAACAGAAUUGUAUCCUACCCUAAUGCUUUUAUUGUUUAAAUUCUGUAUUCAUCACCUAUCUAUUAUGUGAACCACAAUAAAUAUGUGAAUAUGCA